This 226-nucleotide unclassified non-coding RNA is filed under the name Hevea brasiliensis (rubber tree). Lineage: Eukaryota; Viridiplantae; Streptophyta; Magnoliopsida; Malpighiales; Euphorbiaceae. The record is from RNAcentral.
GGAGGGAAGUGUUGGUUAUUGUCGUGGUAUUGAGAUAGAUGUGAGUAGAGACAGCGAUAGGAUCAGCGGUGGAGUCGGUGGCAGGACAAGUGGGGGAGAAGAGAAAGUUGACAGUGUAGAGGCAGGUGAUGAGGGAGAUGAAGAAGAAGAAGAUGCUGUAGCGGGAGAGGAGGGAUCUGGGGGAGGUCUUGGCGAUGACGCUCCUUUGCUCUGGACCAACGGCAGC